Molecule: ribosomal RNA, 433 nt
Filed under: uncultured bacterium
Lineage: Bacteria
Description: bacterial SSU rRNA
Rfam family: Bacterial small subunit ribosomal RNA
Source: RNAcentral
GAUGAACGCUAGCGGCAGGCUUAACACAUGCAAGUCGAGGGGUAGAAGGAGCUUGCUCCUUUGAGACCGGCGCACGGGUGCGUAACGCGUAUGCAAUCUACCUUUUGCAGAGGAUAGCCCAGAGAAAUUUGGAUUAAUACCUCAUAGUAUGUGAGGAUGGCAUCAUUUUCACAUUAAAGUCACAACGGCAAAAGAUGAGCAUGCGUCCCAUUAGCUAGUUGGUAAGGUAACGGCUUACCAAGGCUACGAUGGGUAGGGGUCCUGAGAGGGAGAUCCCCCACACUGGUACUGAGACACGGACCAGACUCCUACGGGAGGCAGCAGUGAGGAAUAUUGGACAAUGGGCGCAAGCCUGAUCCAGCCAUGCCGCGUGCAGGAUGACGGUCCUAUGGAUUGUAAACUGCUUUUGUACAGGAAGAAACACUACUUCGUG